AGGACAACCCCUCUGGUCUUUUAACUCAGCUACCAUUAGUUUCUUCUUGAAAGAAACUAAUCUUUCUGCCUAGCUGAAAUUCCUUGACAGAUGAAAUUUUUUUCUAAUAAAUCAGAAGUCUGAGAUUUGAGCCAAUGAAGUGGCUUCUCUUUGUAAAUUUGGGUGUUCUUGGAGACAAUAUAAUCAAAAUUUUCCUUGAGCAAUGUCUUACACAGAUCAUCUAAAACUAAAAAAAAUAAAAUAAAAUAAAAUACUUGAAAUUUUUCAAAUUUUGAGUCAACUGAUUUUUGAUAAUAGGAAUGUAUAUAUUCUGUGAGAAAUGCGUAAAUUUGCUCAUGUUGACACUGAGCAGAAUUGUUAGGUGGCGUGCGGUGUUUGCUGUUUUCGUGUGUACUUUUCAGAGUGUCCCUCUUUUCCCAAAGUGUUUUGGGUGGGUUGUAAUACUUGGGUUUACUUUCACCCCCCUGUGGUUCUCUUUGUGUGUGUGUGUGCAUGUGCAAGAGUCCAGCCGCUGUGUAACUGGCACGCCUAUAACCCAGAACCUGUUAAAAAUCACUUAAGGUAUCUUGGUUAGAAAUUUAGAUUUCAUUUUGCUGGGUUUUGUGGAAUUUUUUUGACUAAGUUGUUGAAGAGAGAUGUAGAUCUGAAGUGCUGUCUUCAGUAUUGCCUACUGUGUAUCUUUAAUACUUGAACUCUGUGUCUGCUGCUGCUGCCACCGCCGCUGCUGCUACUGUAAAUCGCAACUGGCAUUCAUCAGCGAAUGUGCAUUGGACCCUCUUUCCUUCUUUCCCUGCUGUGACACCUACAGUAUGAGCUUCUGUGUCUGCACUGAAUCCUGCCUUAGAAAUAUGCCUUUGACUAAACUUUAAAUAUUUUUCCAUGUAUUUUUACCUAUAGAGUAAUCACGAUUCCAGUAAGAAGCACUUUGAUUUGUGGUUAUGAACUGUACAAGUAACGCUCGCUUGUGCUAAGCGCGUGCUGUGCUGACGUAAUCCUUUAUGACAUCCCAUCUGUUUGGAGACAAAUGUCAUUUGUCAGCUUGUCAGUGCUGACUAGAUAGGUGACUUAUUUGCGUGUCACGAAAGUGCACGCUCCUCUGCAGUGUCAGAGCGCCCUGUACUGUGCAUUGGUUAAAGUGAAUCACAGAUCUACUAAAACAAUAAAGUUGUAUUUAAUGAAGAAUA
Molecule: long non-coding RNA, 1184 nt
Filed under: Rattus norvegicus (Norway rat)
Lineage: Eukaryota; Metazoa; Chordata; Mammalia; Rodentia; Muridae
Description: long non-coding RNA NONRATT022298
Source: RNAcentral